AUUGAACGCUGGCGGCAGGCCAAACACAUGCAAGUCGAGCGGUUGAGGUAGCUUGCUACCGAUGCAGCGGCGGACGGGUGAGUAAUACAUGGGAAUCUGCCUGGUAGUGGGGGACAACGUUUCGAAAGGAACGCUAAUACCGCAUACGCCCUACGGGGGAAAGGGGGGGAUCGCAAGACCUCUCGCUAUCAGAUGAGCCC
RNAcentral lists this ribosomal RNA (200 nucleotides) under uncultured bacterium. RNAcentral's name for it is "partial 16S ribosomal RNA". It matches the Rfam family "Bacterial small subunit ribosomal RNA", at positions 30 to 232 of the family's 1533-position model. The record is from RNAcentral.